RNAcentral lists this long non-coding RNA (484 nucleotides) under Chinchilla lanigera (long-tailed chinchilla). RNAcentral describes it as "lncRNA (ENSCLAG00000027055.1)". Lineage: Eukaryota; Metazoa; Chordata; Mammalia; Rodentia; Chinchillidae. The record is from RNAcentral.
AGCACAAGGUCCUGAGUUCCAUUCCCGGUACUCCCCCCACCAAAACAAUAAUAAUGGUGACAACCAGACAGUGAUGACAUAGCAGUAAAUGUUGGAAAUGAGGCCCCCGACUCCAUUUGUCAGUGCAGAUAAAGAAGAAAUCUCGACAAGACUUUUUACUUUCGCAAAGAGGCAGAAGCUUGAGGUAGCAGAUUUCCUCUUUCCCUUCUUCAGCAUGAUGGUUCAAUCAACAUUGGAUUUUACCAGCUGGUGUUAAAGAGGAAAAAACUGGAGAACGAUCACAGAGUAAGCCCAAAGGAGGAGUGUCAGGAAUUACGAAGUUUCACUCUACCUUCUAAAGAACACAGCUGUAUAGUAAGUCCACCCCAUAAACAGAAAAUAAUGCACACUGAAAAUGUUCAAGUAGACAGGAUGAUUAUCUGGUUACGGGUCUGACUAAGAAUUACUAACCAGGUAAGACUGGAAUGGUUAUUACAAAGACACC